Molecule: small RNA, 32 nt
Filed under: Bombyx mori (domestic silkworm)
Lineage: Eukaryota; Metazoa; Arthropoda; Insecta; Lepidoptera; Bombycidae
Description: ovarian small RNA-25268
Source: RNAcentral
UCACGAUGUUCGACCAGCCCAUACCGUGGGCC